UACGUAGGGUGCGAGCGUUGUCCGGAAUUAUUGGGCGUAAAGAGCUCGUAGGCGGUUUGUCGCGUCGACUGUGAAAACCUGGGGCUUAACUCUGGGCCUGCAGUCGAUACGGGCAGACUUGAGUACUGAUGAGGUAGGCGGAAUGGACGGUGUAGCGGUGAAAUGCUUAGAUAUCGUCCAGAACACCGAUAGCGAAGGCAGCUUACUAAGGAGUAACUGACGCUGAGGCACGAAAGUGUGGGGAUCAAACAGG
RNAcentral lists this ribosomal RNA (253 nucleotides) under uncultured bacterium. Its description in RNAcentral is "partial 16S ribosomal RNA". It matches the Rfam family "Bacterial small subunit ribosomal RNA", at positions 524 to 776 of the family's 1533-position model. The record is from RNAcentral.